AUGGAGAAAUUCCUGACAGUGUCUCUGGUGAUGCUGUGGCUUCAGCCGGCCAGGGUGAGCAGCCAGCAAGGAGACCAGAACCUUCCGGCCCUGAUCGUCCAGGAGGGUGAAAAUGCCAUCCUGCACUGUAGCUGCAGCACUGCUAUAUCCAGCUCACACUGGUACAGGCAGGAUCCAAGGAGAGGCUUUACACAUCUGAUUUCGAUACGUUCAAACGAGAAAGAGAAACCGAGUGGAAGACUACGAGCCACGCUCCGCACCUCCGUCAGAAGCAGCUCCCUGCUCAUCACAGCGUCCCAGGCUGCGGACGCUGCCACUUGCCUCUGUGCCACGGGUGCGCAGGGCUCAGUAGGCGUCUGCAGCCCCAGCACAACCCUGUCUCUCAGAAGCCCCGGCAGUGUGUAGAGUUGGUGGCUAUGUCUCCCCACAGAGGAGAGUCUGCCGGCAGCUGGCAACACGAAAGGGAGGCUGUCUCAAAUAACGGACGAUUUUGGCAGCACCUUAGGCUGGGCUGGACUGGGGUAAAGGGCGUGAGAUUUAGAGCAGGAGACUG
This is a non-coding RNA of Vicugna pacos (alpaca), 553 nucleotides long. The record is from the annotation of a RefSeq genome assembly. NCBI's taxonomy places the organism in Eukaryota, Metazoa, Chordata, Mammalia, Artiodactyla, Camelidae.